CGGGGUGAGUAAUGCAUAGGAAUCUGCCCAUGUAGUGGGGGGACAACCUGGGGAAACUCAGGCUAAUACCGCAUGAGCCCUUCGGGGGAAAGCAGGGGAUCUUCGGACCUUGCGCUAUUGGAUGAGCCUAUGCCUGAUUAGCUUGUUGGUGGGGUAACGGCCUACCAAGGCGACGAUCUGUAGCUGGUAUGAGAGGACGAUCAGCCACACUGGGACUGAGACACGGCCCAG
Molecule: ribosomal RNA, 231 nt
Filed under: uncultured bacterium
Lineage: Bacteria
Description: partial 16S ribosomal RNA
Rfam family: Bacterial small subunit ribosomal RNA
Source: RNAcentral